This is a long non-coding RNA of Macadamia integrifolia, 491 nucleotides long. RefSeq lists it as uncharacterized. The record is from RefSeq and is a predicted model, not a curated record. The transcript is spliced from 2 exons. Lineage: Eukaryota; Viridiplantae; Streptophyta; Magnoliopsida; Proteales; Proteaceae.
CGCACUUGAAAAGAUCAUAACUGUACAGCGGACAAAGAAACAGAAGAAGAAGUACCCAAAAUCAAGAAUCCGUGAGUGCUGUUUGGGCUUACUUUGAUUUCUAUUGAACAGAGAUACAAUCACAGCUUUGUACAAAGGUGGAGUGAAGCAAAAUGACUUGAUAAAUACUGCAGAGGUUUGGGAUUCUGCAGUUCCAUCAACUUUGCAGUACUUGGGAUCUCCCAACUCAUUGGAACUUCCAAAUUCCUAGUGACCAGACGUAGAAAACAUGAAAAUUUUCGUCCAGAAUAACAUUUAAACAUGUACCAUACAAAAAUUAACCAAAUAAUGUCUUGAGGCUGCUCAUAUCAUUAUCCAUUUUUCUCUUAAAUUAUUUGGAAAGUACACAUUUAAGGAGAAUGAUAAUGUAAUUACCCUUCAGAACAUUUGAACUUGCAGCGUUUCAUAUCGUCUACUUUAUAAUUCCCAAAGACAACAUCCAGUUGCUUAGC